UGCACACUGGGGAUCAGACCUCUACCUU
RNAcentral lists this non-coding RNA (28 nucleotides) under Mus musculus (house mouse). The record is from RNAcentral. Lineage: Eukaryota; Metazoa; Chordata; Mammalia; Rodentia; Muridae.